This 712-nucleotide ribosomal RNA is filed under the name uncultured bacterium. RNAcentral's name for it is "bacterial SSU rRNA". It matches the Rfam family "Bacterial small subunit ribosomal RNA", at positions 94 to 823 of the family's 1533-position model. The record is from RNAcentral.
AGCGGCGGACGGGUGAGUAACACGUGGGCAACCUGCCUCAUAGAGGGAAUAGCCUCCCGAAAGGGAGAUUAAUACCGCAUAAGAUUGUAGCUUCGCAUGAAGUAGCAAUUAAAGGAGCAAUCCGCUAUGAGAUGGGCCCGCGGCGCAUUAGCUAGUUGGUGAGGUAACGGCUCACCAAGGCGACGAUGCGUAGCCGACCUGAGAGGGUGAUCGGCCACAUUGGGACUGAGACACGGCCCAGACUCCUACGGGAGGCAGCAGUGGGGAAUAUUACACAAUGGGGGAAACCCUGAUGCAGCAACGCCGCGUGAGUGAUGACGGCCUUCGGGUUGUAAAGCUCUGUCUUCAGGGACGAUAAUGACGGUACCUGAGGAGGAAGCCACGGCUAACUACGUGCCAGCAGCCGCGGUAAUACGUAGGUGGCGAGCGUUGUCCGGAUUUACUGGGCGUAAAGGGAGCGUAGGCGGAUUUUUAAGUGAGAUGUGAAAUACUCGGGCUUAACCUGAGUGCUGCAUUUCAAACUGGAAGUCUAGAGUGCAGGAGAGGAGAAGGGAAUUCCUAGUGUAGCGGUGAAAUGCGUAGAGAUUAGGAAGAACACCAGUGGCGAAGGCGCUUCUCUGGACUGUAACUGACGCUGAGGCUCGAAAGCGUGGGGAGCAAACAGGAUUAGAUACCCAGGUAGUCCACGCCGUAAACGAUGAAUACUAGGUGU